AGUGUUCGUCUGACUAAGAAUGACCAACCCCAAAUCAAUGGCAGGACCAAGAUGGGUUCCAAGCCGUACCGCUCACUCGUGGAAAGCCUGAUGUACCAGACGUGUGGUACAUGACCCGACAUCCCUGAGUUGCUCGUGCGUACGAUCCGUUUUCUUUGAGUCGCGUUGUUUGGGAAUGCAGCGCAAAGUAGGUGGUAAACUCCAUCAAAAGCCGAAUAUUGGUGCGAGACCGAUAGCGAACAAGUACCGUGAGGGAAAGAUGAAAGUAACUUUGAAAAGAGAGUUAAGGAGUACCUGAAACUGCUGAAAGGGAACCGAAUCGUUUACAGUGUCUAUAAUCCGCGGUAUAUUGCAUUGGCGAGUGUGUACAUACGUGUGCUGUGACAGCGGCUUUUUUGGCUGCGCUCGGCGUGUGUGCUGUGUGUACUUGCUGGUGCCCUGUGCUGCGGUGGUACGCCAAGGUCCGCUCAACUGAUCAACGGGCUUCCUGGAAAAUCCGGGAUAGAAGCACUGGGGUGCUGGCAUCAGGGUGGUGUGAUACCAGUUGAAAACCAA
Molecule: non-coding RNA, 555 nt
Filed under: Phytophthora infestans T30-4
Lineage: Eukaryota; Oomycota; Peronosporomycetes; Peronosporales; Peronosporaceae
Description: Eukaryotic large subunit ribosomal RNA
Rfam family: Eukaryotic large subunit ribosomal RNA
Source: Rfam by way of RNAcentral